AUUGAACGCUGGCGGAAUGCUUUACACAUGCAAGUCGAGCGGCAGCGCGGCCUUCGGGCUGGCGGCGGGCGGCGAACGGGUGAGUAAUGCAUCGGAACAUGCCCAGUCGUGGGGGAUAACACUUCGAAAGAAGUGCUAAUACCGCAUACGUCCUGAGGGGGAAAGCGGGGGAUCGCAAGACCUCGCGCGAUUGGAGUGGCCGAUGUCAGAUUAGCUAGUUGGUGGGGUAAAGGCCUACCAAGGCGACGAUCUGUAGCUGGUCUGAGAGGAUGAUCAGCCACACUGGGACUGAGACACGGCCCAGACUCCUACGGGAGGCAGCAGUGGGGAAUUUUGGACAAUGGGGGCAACCCUGAUCCAGCCAUUCCGCGUGAGUGAAGAAGGCCUUCGGGUUGUAAAGCUCUUUCGGCAGGAACGAAACGGUGGGCUCUAACAUAGUCCGCUAAUGACGGUACCUGAAGAAGAAGCACCGGCUAACUACGUG
This 484-nucleotide ribosomal RNA is filed under the name uncultured bacterium. RNAcentral describes it as "partial 16S ribosomal RNA". It matches the Rfam family "Bacterial small subunit ribosomal RNA", at positions 29 to 507 of the family's 1533-position model. The record is from RNAcentral.